CGCGAGCCCAGUGUGCUUGCGCUUGCGCUUGCCCCGCACUCAGUCGCCCCCUCCACGAGUGCACACUCCACUCACGCGGGAUGCGCAGGACGCCGACAAGCAGGCGUCCACAGUGGGUCUGCAGGGACGCAUCGCAUGGGCAGGCCUGGUGGGUGUAGGUGUGCAGGAGUUCGUGGACAUGCGUGUGCACGAUCCCGCGUGGAAGGCACGGUGGACAUGCGUGUGCACAAUCCCGCGUGAAAUGCAAAGGUUACGGGGACCCAGCAACCUCACUUCUCUUGGUACUAUCUGAAAGAAAUACACAACUUAGGAGCACACAGAGACCAGGAGGUAAAUGCACGUAGCAGCUUUGUUCCUCAUCACCAAAACCUGGGAAGAGCUCAAAUACCCCUCCAUUCAGAGGGGAACAGGUCAACGGAGGUCGGUUCAUAGAAUGAAAGUUCAGCAGUCAAGAGGAACGCACUCGCCUUCAAAACAUGCUCAGUGAGGCCGGGCGCGGUGGUUUAUGCCUGUAAUCCCAGCACUUUGGGAGGCCCAGGUGGGCGGAUCACUUGAGGUCAGGUGUUUGAGACCAGCCUGAUCAGCGUGGUGAAACCUCAUCUCUACUAAAAAUACAAAAAAUUAGCCGGCCAUGGUGGUGGGCACCUGUAGUCCCAGCUACUCCGGAGGCUGAAGCAGGAGAAUCGCUUGAACCUGGGAGGCGGAGGUUGCAAUGAGUUGAGAUAGUGCCACUGCACUCCAGCCUGGGUGACAGAACACGACUCAGUCUCAAAAAAUGAAAUGAAAUGAAAUAAAUGAAAUGAAAUGGAAUAAAUAAAAUGAAAAUAAAAAUAAAGCAUGUGCACCCAACACACAAACACACAGGUAUGCACACU
Molecule: long non-coding RNA, 875 nt
Filed under: Homo sapiens (human)
Lineage: Eukaryota; Metazoa; Chordata; Mammalia; Primates; Hominidae
Description: HSALNT0395637
Source: RNAcentral